This 458-nucleotide ribosomal RNA is filed under the name uncultured Methanolinea sp. Its description in RNAcentral is "bacterial SSU rRNA". It matches the Rfam family "Archaeal small subunit ribosomal RNA", at positions 881 to 1338 of the family's 1478-position model. Lineage: Archaea; Methanobacteriati; Methanobacteriota; Methanomicrobia; Methanomicrobiales; Methanoregulaceae. The record is from RNAcentral.
ACAACGGGUGGAGCCUGCGGUUUAAUUGGACUCAACGCCGGGCAGCUCACCGGAUAAGACGGCUGGAUGAUAGCCGGGCUGAAGACUCCGCUUGACUAGCUGAGAGGAGGUGCAUGGCCGUCGUCAGUUCGUACUGUGAAGCAUCCUGUUAAGUCAGGCAACGAGCGAGACCCACGCCAACAGUUGCCAGCAUGUCCUCCGGGAUGAUGGGGACACUGUUGGGACCGCCUCUGCUAAAGAGGAGGAAGGAAUGGGCAACGGUAGGUCAGCAUGCCCCGAAUUAUCCGGGCUACACGCGGGCUACAAUGGUCAGGACAAUGGGUAUCGACACCGAGAGGUGGAGGCAAUCUCCUAAACCUGUCCUUAGUUCGGAUUGUGGGCUGCAACUCGCCCACAUGAAGCUGGAAUCCGUAGUAAUCGUGUCUCAAAAUGGCACGGUGAAUAUGUCCCUGCUCCUU